CAAAUGAUCCACCCGCCUCUGCCUCCCAAAGUGCUGGGAUUACAGUCAUGAGCCACCACGCCCGGCCGACACUAAGCAAUUCUUAAAAUGUACACUGAAGUUUGAGAACUGCUCCAGAGAAUUUGCCACAGUGGAAUAGCUCUUCACAGCAGGUCCCUAGGUCAGGACUAGGAAGCUUGUUGAUUUAGUAGUAAGCAAAUACUUGCAUUGCUUCCCACUCUGUGUCACUGACUAAGUCAGACAUGGCAGGCUGGGGACAGUGGCUCACAGCUGUAAUCCCAGCACUUUGGGGGGCCAAGGUGAGAGAUUACUUGAGUCCAGGAGGUUGAAACUAGCCUGGGCAACAUAGUGAGAUCUUGUCUCUAAAAAAAUAAAAUAUUAGGCGUGGGAGGAUUGCUUGAACUCGGGGAGGUUGAGGCUGCAGUGAGCCAAGAUCAUCCCACUGCGCACCAGCCCGGGUGAAAGAGCAAGACCCUG
This 477-nucleotide long non-coding RNA is filed under the name Homo sapiens (human). RNAcentral's name for it is "non-protein coding lnc-ELOA-1:2". Lineage: Eukaryota; Metazoa; Chordata; Mammalia; Primates; Hominidae. The record is from RNAcentral.